Molecule: ribosomal RNA, 627 nt
Filed under: Bacillus thuringiensis
Lineage: Bacteria; Bacillati; Bacillota; Bacilli; Caryophanales; Bacillaceae
Description: partial 23S ribosomal RNA
Rfam family: Bacterial large subunit ribosomal RNA
Source: RNAcentral
ACCGGGAGAUAGCUGGUUCUCCCCGAAAGCUAUUUAGGUAGCGCCUCGUGAACUCAUCUUCGGGGGUAGAGCACUGUUUCGGCUAGGGGGUCAUCCCGACUUACCAACCCGAUGCAAACUACGAAUACCGAAGAAUGUUAUCACGGGAGACACACGGCGGGUGCUAACGUCCGUCGUGAAGAGGGAAACAACCCAGACCGCCAGCUAAGGUCCCAAAGUCAUGGUUAAGUGGGAAACGAUGUGGGAAGGCACAGACAGCCAGGAUGUUGGCUUAGAAGCAGCCAUCAUUUAAAGAAAGCGUAAUAGCUCACUGGUCGAGUCGGCCUGCGCGGAAGAUGUAACGGGGCUAAACCAUGCACCGAAGCUGCGGCAGCGACACUAUGUGUUGUUGGGUAGGGGAGCGUUCUGUAAGCCUGCGAAGGUGUGCUGUGAGGCAUGCUGGAGGUAUCAGAAGUGCGAAUGCUGACAUAAGUAACGAUAAAGCGGGUGAAAAGCCCGCUCGCCGGAAGACCAAGGGUUCCUGUCCAACGUUAAUCGGGGCAGGGUGAGUCGACCCCUAAGGCGAGGCCGAAAGGCGUAGUCGAUGGGAAACAGGUUAAUAUUCCUGUACUUGGUGUUACUGCGAAG